AUGAGUUGCUUCCAACUCACCAAGAAAUUGUGCGGGAACCUGACAUCUAUCUCUUCUAACUUUUGGUGGGGUGAAGCUAACGGUGAGAAAAAGGUACACUGGAUCGCUUGGCAAAAAAUGUGCGCGAGCAAACGCGAGGGUGGUAUGGGUUUUCAUGAUAUGGAGGUUUUUAAUCAAGCGUUAUUGGCAAAGCAAGCCUGGAGAAUUAUGCUUGUCCCCUCUUUGUUGUGUGCACGUGUCCUCAAGGCACGCUAUUUUUAUGGGACUAUCCUCAAUGCAACAUGUCCGAGUGGUGCUUCUUACACCUUCAAAAGCAUUUUGUUUGGCCGGGACUUAUAUGGAGAGUGGGGGACGGCUCGAGCAUUUGCAUCCACCAUGAUAGUUGGAUACCACGCAAAGGUAGCCUUCGGCCGCUGGGCCAAGUAUUUGUGCCAGGGAUCACGCGAGUGA
RNAcentral lists this ribosomal RNA (450 nucleotides) under Triticum aestivum (bread wheat). RNAcentral's name for it is "partial small subunit ribosomal RNA". The record is from RNAcentral. Lineage: Eukaryota; Viridiplantae; Streptophyta; Magnoliopsida; Poales; Poaceae.